AUUGAACGCUGGCGGCAUGCCUUACACAUGCAAGUCGAACGGCAGCACGGGUGCUUGCACCUGGUGGCGAGUGGCGAACGGGUGAGUAAUACAUCGGAACGUACCUUAUCGUGGGGGAUAACGCAGCGAAAGCUGUGCUAAUACCGCAUACGCCCUGAGGGGGAAAGCGGGGGAUCGCAAGACCUCGCGCGAUUAGAGCGGCCGAUUCCUGUUUAGCUUGUUGGUGGGGUAAAAGCCCACCAAGGCGACGAUCAGUAGCUGGUCUGAGAGGACGAUCAGCCACACUGGGACUGAGACACGGCCCAGACUCCUACGGGAGGCAGCAGUGGGGAAUUUUGGACAAUGGGGGCAACCCUGAUCCAGCAAUGCCGCGUGAGUGAAGAAGGCCUUCGGGUUGUAAAGCUCUUUUGUCAGGGAAGAAACACCGGCUCUAACACAGUCCGGGAAUGACGGUACCUGAAGAAUAAGCACCGGCUAACUACGUGCCAGCAGCCGCCGUAA
This 501-nucleotide ribosomal RNA is filed under the name uncultured bacterium. RNAcentral describes it as "partial 16S ribosomal RNA". It matches the Rfam family "Bacterial small subunit ribosomal RNA", at positions 30 to 523 of the family's 1533-position model. The record is from RNAcentral.